UGGGGAAUUUUGGACAAUGGGCGAAAGCCUGAUCCAGCAAUGCCGCGUGUGUGAAGAAGGCCUUCGGGUUGUAAAGCACUUUUGUCCGGAAAGAAAUCCUUGGCUCUAAUACAGUCGGGGGAUGACGGUACCGGAAGAAUAAGCACCGGCUAACUACGUGCCAGCAGCCGCGGUAAUACGUAGGGUGCAAGCGUUAAUCGGAAUUACUGGGCGUAAAGCGUGCGCAGGCGGUUUGCUAAGACCGAUGUGAAAUCCCCGGGCUCAACCUGGGAACUGCAUUGGUGACUGGCAGGCUAGAGUAUGGCAGAGGGGGGUAGAAUUCCACGUGUAGCAGUGAAAUGCGUAGAGAUGUGGAGGAAUACCGAUGGCGAAGGCAGCCCCCCUGGGCCAAUACUGACGCUCAUGCACGAAAAGCGUGGGGAGCAAAACAGGAUUAGAUACCCUGGUAGUCCACGCCCUAAACGAUGUCAACUAGUUGUUGGGGAUUCAUUUCCUUAGUAACGUAGCUAACGCGUGAAGUUGACCGCCUGGGGAGUACGGUCGCAAGAUUAAAACUCAAAUGAAUUGACGGGGUCAUAGCUG
Molecule: ribosomal RNA, 582 nt
Filed under: uncultured bacterium
Lineage: Bacteria
Description: partial 16S ribosomal RNA
Rfam family: Bacterial small subunit ribosomal RNA
Source: RNAcentral